GAUGAAGAACGUAGUGAAUCGCGAUAAGUAAUGUGAAUUGCAGAUUUUCCGUGAAUCAUCGAAUCUUUGAACGCACAUUGCGCCCGCUAGUAUUCUGGCGGGCAUGCCUGUCCGAGCGUCAUUUCAACCCUCAAGCCCCCGGGCUUGGUGUUGGGGAUCGGCGAGCCUCCGCGCCCGCCGUCCCCUAAAUCUAGUGGCGGUCUCGCUGUAGCUUCCUCUGCGUAGUAGCACACCUCGCACUGGGAAACAGCGCGGCCACGCCGUUAAACCCCCAACUUCUGAACGUUUGACCUCGGAUCAGGUAGGAAUACCCGCUGAACUUAAGCAUAUCAAUAAGCGGAGGA
Molecule: unclassified non-coding RNA, 344 nt
Filed under: soil metagenome
Description: partial contains 5.8S ribosomal RNA, internal transcribed spacer 2, and large subunit ribosomal RNA
Rfam family: 5.8S ribosomal RNA (bases 1-121)
Source: RNAcentral